AACGAACGCUGGCGGCAGGCCUAACACAUGCAAGUCGAGCGCCCUUUCGGGGGAGCGGCGGUCGGGUGAGUAACGCGUGGGAAUAUGCCCUUCUCUACGGAAUAGCCUCGGGAUACUGAGAGUAAUACCGUAUACGCCCUGCGGGGGAAAGAUUUAUCGGGGAAGGAUUAGCCCGCGUUGGAUUAGGUAGUUGGUGGGGUAAUGGCCUACCAAGCCGACGAUCCAUAGCUGGUUUGAGAGGAUGAUCAGCCACACUGGGACUGAGACACGGCCCAGACUCCUACGGGAGGCAGCAGUGGGGAAUCUUAGACAAUGGGGGCAACCCUGAUCUAGCCAUGCCGCGUGAGUGAUGAAGGCCUUAGGGUUGUAAAGCUCUUUCAGCUGGGAAGAUAAUGACGGUACCAGCAGAAGAAGCCCCGGCUAACUCCGUG
RNAcentral lists this ribosomal RNA (431 nucleotides) under uncultured bacterium. Its description in RNAcentral is "partial 16S ribosomal RNA". It matches the Rfam family "Bacterial small subunit ribosomal RNA", at positions 29 to 507 of the family's 1533-position model. The record is from RNAcentral.